This 1533-nucleotide long non-coding RNA is filed under the name Heterocephalus glaber (naked mole-rat). RNAcentral's name for it is "lncRNA (ENSHGLG00100048061.1)". Lineage: Eukaryota; Metazoa; Chordata; Mammalia; Rodentia; Bathyergidae. The record is from RNAcentral.
UUCCCAUCCCCUUAAGGGUCCCCCUGACCUUUGUGUUCCCUUCGGCCUUUGCCAGUGACUCGGGAGAAGUCCAUUCGGGGAGUCCGGGGCGUAGAGGUUCGUCCAGCUCCACGCCCACCCACUGGCCGCUGGCAAAUUCCGUGGUUCCACAGAACCGCAGUGUGCCCGUCUGGGGAGACAAGAAAGGAUACGGCUCAGAAAGGUUGCCUCGAACUUUUGAUUCUCCUGCCUCAGCCAGCCAAGUAGCUGGAAUUACAGCCAUGUGAGGUGAAGAAACUUUCCCAGAGAGCUGGGAUCACUGACUGGGAAGCAGCAAAGCUGAGAUGGACCUGGGCCAGUCGCUGACCCUAAGUGUGAAAACACUGUGAUGUGCUGCUUCCCUAAGGGGCAGGGAUAGGUAUCAGAGAUAGGUAUUACGUGUCUUCGGACAAAAGGCUUCUUCACCUCUCAGAGGUUCUUAUAGUCUUCUGGAGUAUAAAAUGGGAGGAGUCAACCACCCUUCUUUGAGAAUCAUCCAGUGGAUUUGAUUAGAUUUUGCACAAAGUUUUCCUGGAUUGGGGCUGACACAUGCAGAAUUCUUGAUUAGGAAACAAAAUGUGACUUGAAUGGUUUCUCACUGUGUAAAAAACAAAAUCCAAAUUCCUUCCAAUGGCCUGCAGGGCUGGUGUGAUCCAGUCCCUCUGAUCUCUCCACAACACAAUCAGAAACAACUCUCCAGUCACAGUGCCGCACUGCUGGGUCUUGGUACUUGUCCCUUCCAUAUCUGUGGAAGAUGAGCUCCUUCCUGUCUCAGCUUGGAAAUCACCUCCUCAGAGAAGGCUUCCCAGAACACUCCAGCUAAAACCACCCCUGCCUCCAGCACUCUGACCUGUACUGUCCUGGUCAAAGUCCUGACCACUCCAAAAGUGAGAUGGGCCUGACCGGAGACCUCGGGACCCUGGGGACCACGGGUGCACAGAGCUGUGCUGAUCACUCUGCUUAUGUUUUAGCCAUGACUACUCUAGGCUGUCACUGUCAGAGGAUGGAUCUGUUUCCCCUUUGGACCAAAAACUCAGCACAGGGUGGGGCACAAAGGAAGAACUCAUAGAACAAUUGUUAGAUGAAAUAAAGUACUUCGUGAGUGACUGUGCGAGGGUGGGCAGACAAAGGGGACAGUGUGUACGCAGUCCCAGGACCCAGCUGGGAUGAGGGGGCCGAGCCCCACCCUCUGCCCCACCCCAAUUCCUGACCUUCUGGCCAUCCAGCAGCACGCGGUCUCCUAGGCGCAGGCCCAGUGCACUGAGCAUGAGAUUGCCUGGGACGUUGUCAUAGUUGGGUAGCGUGACUUUAGGAAGAGCACAAGACAGUGGCACAGCCUCCUCCAGCAGCGUUCGCAGCUCCUUAGCCACCAGCGCUGCUUCUGCCUUGUCCAGGGACAUGUCCAUAGGGUCUGGGACUACUUCAGCUGGCACCUGUCCUUUUCGAUUCUGUAGACCAAUGGGAAGAGAGUGGCAGGGACUUAGUGGCAGCACUUCCAUGGAGGCCACAAAUCUG